AUGGGUACUGCUCUGUGCCUGGCACUGGCGGUGCUGCUACUGCUGCUCGCUAAUGAUCCGGUGUUGGUGGCCGCGGACGACGGCGUCGACGAGCAGCUGCUGGAGCGGUUCAAGGCGGCGGUACGGAACGGCGGGGAGCUGGGGGGAUGGACCCGUGGCGACGGCGCGUGCAGUUUCCCUGGUGCCGCGUGCGUCAGGGGAGGGAAGAGGCUCGUGUCGCUGUCCCUCUCAGGGGUCCCACUCGACGUCGAUUUCAGCGCCGUCGCCGGCACACUGCUGCAGCUGGGUGGUAUCGAGGUCCUCAGCCUGCGGGCCGCCAACGUGAGCGGCUCGCUCGCAAGCGGCGGGGGCGCCGCCGGGAGAUGGAGGUGCGGCCAAAAGCUGGUCGGGCUUGACCUGUCCGGCAACAGGGCGCUAAGAGGAUCCGUCGCUGACGCCCGCGUGCUCGCCGGCGCGUGCGACGGGCUGAGGGAGCUGAACCUUUCUGGUAACGCACUCGUUGCCGGUGGUGGCGGGAAGGGAGACGGCGGGGACAUUUUUGCCCGCCUGGAUGUCCUUGACCUGUCGGACAACAACAUCACCGGCCACGGCGAUCUCAGCUGGAUGGGGGGAGUCCGUCGGCUGAACCUCGCCUGGAACUCGAUCUCCGGGCCACUCCAGGUCCCGGCAUUCACCAACUGUUCCAGGAUGGAGUCACUUGAUCUAUCCGGUAAUUCAAUCUCCGGCGAGGUGCUGCCCGGGGUCUUGUCCGGCUGCACUGCUCUUGUUUCGCUCAACCUCUCCAGCAACCACUUGAAGGGCGCUUUUCCGCCGGACAUCACGCUGCUCGCGUCGCUCUCCUACCUCAACCUAUCGAACAACAACUUCUCUGGUGAGCUCCCUGGCGACGAACUCGCUGGGCUCCCACGGCUCUCGUGGCUCACUCUAUCACUCAACCACUUCCAUGGCUCCAUGCCUGACUCUCUAGGUCGGCUUGCCAAUCUGAGAAUGCUGGACUUAAGCUCGAACGAGCUCUCCGGCGCUAUACCAUCCUCACUCUGCCCGAAUACCGGCUCCAAGUCCAAGCUCGAGGUGCUCUACCUGCAGAACAACUACCUUACCGGCGGCAUCCCGGCGACAAUCUCCAACUGUGAAAGCCUCGAGUCUCUAGACCUCAGUCUCAACUACAUCAAUGGCUCCAUCCCCACAUCCGUCGGCAGCCUUGCUCGUCUCCGUGACCUCAUCCUGUGGGAGAACAAAUUGGAGGGUGAGAUUCCAGUGUCGCUCGGUGGUGCUCGCGGACUCGAGCACCUCAUCCUCGAGUACAACACGCUCACUGGCAGCGUCCCGUCCGAAUUGAUGAACUGCAAGAAUCUGAAAUGGAUGGCGCUCGGGAGCAACCGGCUCUCUGGGUCGGUGCCGGCUUGGCUGGGGCGGCUAGACAACCUUGCAAUCUUGAAGCUCAACAACAACUCCUUCUCAGGGCAGAUACCGCCGGAGCUAGGAGACUGCAAGAGUUUAAUUUGGCUCGAUCUGAACGACAACCAGCUAAGCGGAUCGAUACCACCGGAGCUGGCGAGGCAGUCCGGGAAGGUGGCUAUCGGCUUCACGAUAGUUCGGCCACAUAUAUACUUGCGCAACGGCGAGCAGAGCAGCAAAUGUCGCGGCGCGGGGAGCCUGCUUGAGAUCGGCGGCGUCCGUUUGGAGCAACUAAACCGGAUGGCUAGCAAGAAUAGGUGCAACUUCACACGGGUAUACAUCCUGGCUAGCGGAGAGCACACUUUGAAAAGCAAUGGCUCCAUGAUAUUCUUGGACCUGUCCUUUAACAAGCUUGACUCCGAGAUCCCCAAGGAACUUGGUAAGAUGAACUAUCUAGCUAUCAUGAAUCUUCGGCAAAAUCAACUUUCUGGUGCCAUCCCAGCAGAGCUUGCAGGUUCCAAGAAUUUAGGUAUGCUUGACCUGUCACACAACAAGUUGGAAGGCCCAAUCCCCAGUUCAUUUUCGUUGCUAUCAUUGUCGGAGAUUGAUCUAUCAUACAACAGGCUGAAUGGAUCAAUACCGGAGAUGGGAUCCCUUGCCACUUUCCAGGAGAGCCAAUAUGCAAACAACUCUGGCUUGUGCGGCUUCCCUCUGCCUCCAUGCCAACCAUUUUUGAAACCCCAAGGUAGUGCUUCAGUAGUAAGUACCACUUCCAGUAAUAAGUACAACCUUCUAAUAAUCCUACUCUCAGCUGUCACGCUAGCUUUUGUCAUUAUUGUAAUUUUAUUGUACUGCAUAUCGUGGAUAAAUAAAGUCGACAACGGCAAGACCAAAUCUUCCAAUGACCUGACAGCUCCAGCAAGCCAUCAGUUAGUCUCACACCUAGAGCUUGUUCGUGCCACUGGUAAUUUCAGUGAAGAUUACAUGUUGGGAUAUGGAAGCCACGGAAAGGUAUUCAAGGGACAACUGAGCGAUGGUUUGACGGUUGCAAUAAAGGUUCUUGACAUGCGGUCCAUGUGUGCCAUUAGAAGCUUCGAGGCCGAGUGCCGUGUGCUCCGCAUGGCGCGGCAUCGCAACCUGAUACGGAUAAUCACCACAUGUUCUAACAUGGAUUUCAGAGCGUUGGUGCUACAAUACAUGCCAAAUGGCAAUUUAGAGACAUUGCUUCACUGCUCACAACAGGGCGGAACACAAUUUGGGUUCCACGAGAGACUGUGUGUUAUGCUUGAGGUGUCAAUGGCAAUGGAAUAUCUACACCAUGGUUACCAUGAAAUCGUCUUGCACCGCGACUUGAAGCCAAGCAAUGUGUUAUUUGACGAGGACAUGAUGGCGCAUGUGGCAGAUUUUGGCAUUGCAAGACUAAUACAAGCUGAUGAUAACUCUGCGUUCUCCAUUAACAUGCAUGGCACUAUUGGGUACAUGUCACCAGAGUAUGGGUCAUACGGGAAAGCUUCACGAAAGAGCGAUGUGUUCAGCUACGGCAUCAUGCUCCUUGAAGUCUUUACUGGCAAGAGGCCAACGGAUGCUAUGUUUGUUGGAGAACUGAGCCUUAGACGAUGGGUUCAUCAAUUGUUUCAAGCAGAUCAACUUGUUCAUGUCGUGGAUAGACGGCUAUUGCAAUGCUUUGACAUGGACAUUAGCUUUCUUGCGCCAAUACUAGAGGUUGGUUUGCUUUGCUCCAGUGACUCACCUGGAGAUAGGAUAACUAUGAGCGAGGUAGUCUUAAGGAUGAAGAACGUCAAAACAGAGUACAUCAAAUAUAUAUCGUCUACAUUAGGAAGUGUGUCACAAUGA
Molecule: ribosomal RNA, 3252 nt
Filed under: Triticum aestivum (bread wheat)
Lineage: Eukaryota; Viridiplantae; Streptophyta; Magnoliopsida; Poales; Poaceae
Description: partial small subunit ribosomal RNA
Source: RNAcentral